GGAGGUCGUCAUGCCUUGACCUGCUCAGGGACCCAAUUCUCGGGAGGCUGUCACGCCUCGACCUGCCCGGGGAUUUGAUCUCCAGAAGGCUGUCACGCCUCAGCCUGCCUGGGGAUCUGCACCCUGACCCGGGGACGCCUGGCUCUAAGGUUGCAACAGUUCUGGGUAGGAUAAGCUUCAGAAAGACUCACCCCUAAGGAAGUCCACCCAUGGAAACAUAAAGAAGCCUAUUACUUGUGGGACUGUGCCCAGUCUCAACAAUAACUCAGGAGCCCAAUGAGAACCCCAUUGCCUUUCUGGAAAGGCUAAAAGAGGCCCUCCAAAAGUUUACUAAUCUGGACUUAGACUCUUAAGAGGGACAGGUGAUUUUAAAGGACAAAGUCCUGUCCCAAUGUGCAUCAGCUAUCAGAAUUAAGUUACAACAGCAGCAGGACUCUGCUGCCUCUUUAUAUGAGAUGAUCCAGACAGCCACCAAUACCUUUUAAACAGAACAGGAGAAGGAGGCUAAGGCCCAGGAGAAGGAGAGAAGGAAAGAGACAAGGCAUGCCCAGAUGCUGGCCGCCCUCCAGAGAAGCCCUAUGGCAAACCCUGAGUCCUUGAAGGACAAGGCACGAGGCAAAUGCCUAAUCUGUAGACAGGCGGGGCAUUGGGCCAAAGAGUGUCCAAACUGUGACAAGUCUCCUAGAAAUGUCACAAAUGUCAUCAACUGGGACAUUGGGCGGCACUCUGCCCUGGGGACUCAAGAGCCUCAAGGUCAAGCACCAAGCCUACCCUCAUGAUGGUUCAAGAGGACUGAAGCGGCCCGCUCCAGCCAGCCCGCCUGUCACAGAUAACCAUCAUGGGGCUGGAGCCAAGGGUGCAACUGGAUGUGGCAGAAACCUUGGACCACUGGACAAAACCUCGAGAGGGAUUGUCAAAAGAUCCUCUGACCAGUCCUGAGGAAAUCUGGUACACUGAUGGAAGCAGCAUUGUCUUAGAUGGAAAAAGAAGAGCCAGGAACAUGGAGCUGGUCAUACCCAAAUUAAACCAGUCAAGACCAUGGAUUGGGUGACUGUUCAAUAGAUGACCAUUUGACAUCAGAGGGCCAAAAACUUCACCCUCAGAUCAUGUUAAUGACACCAUUUUCUGAACAUACAUCCCAUGAAGAAGCAUGUAACCCAGAUACAUCUGUGCAGAACCCCAAUUACUUUAAGUUUUUCUUCAGUCAUCUUUCCCCACACCUCAGACCACCCUGCUUCCUUAUCCCACGAGUAUCUUGAGGCCCUCACCUUCAUGAAAUUGGAUUAAAGACUUGUUCUCUUGUCUCCGUGCUUGGCUGCCUUGUGUAUAAAGCCUUUCUCUGCUGCAUACCUUGGCGUCUCAGGAUUUGGCUUGAUGUGAGUCAGGCAAAUGAACCUGGUAUGGUUCAUAAUAUAAGGGAUGGAAAUAUCAGCUAGGAUUAGAAUCAGAUGCAUGUAACAGAAGCUGAAACAACAGUGGCUUAAAUAAGAAGUUUGUUACAUUGUUCAAGAAGUCUGGAUUAGUAUGACAGCUUCAGCAGAUCACCAGUACUCUAGUC
Molecule: long non-coding RNA, 1558 nt
Organism: Bos taurus (domestic cattle)
Lineage: Eukaryota; Metazoa; Chordata; Mammalia; Artiodactyla; Bovidae
Source: Ensembl